GAUCCUGGCUCAGGAUGAACGCUAGCGGCAGGCCUAACACAUGCAAGUCGAGGGGUAGAACACUUCGGUGUUUGAGACCGGCGCACGGGUGCGUAACGCGUAUGCAAUCUACCUUGUACAGGGGAAUAGCCCAGAGAAAUUUGGAUUAAUGCCCCAUAGUAUAUAACCUUCGCAUGUUGGUUAUAUUAAAGUUCCAACGGUACAAGAUGAGCAUGCGUCCCAUUAGUUAGUUGGUAAGGUAACGGCUUACCAAG
This 254-nucleotide ribosomal RNA is filed under the name uncultured bacterium. Its description in RNAcentral is "partial 16S ribosomal RNA". It matches the Rfam family "Bacterial small subunit ribosomal RNA", at positions 15 to 272 of the family's 1533-position model. The record is from RNAcentral.